AAAAAGUCUAACUGUGUGAUAUCACAAGAUCUUGACCUGAACGUGAAAUUAUCUGCUCACCGAAGUGUUCUCUCAUUAAAUCUAUAGAUUGAACCAAAUAACGCCGAGAUCACGGUUAUCAUGGCGCGAUAACGGUCGCCAUUGACGAUUACGUUCUCACCGGCAUCAUUUUGGAAGUAAUGUGGACCGAUCAUUCCACCGUUUUUUCUGAAUGAAAAAAUCUCUUCAGGUUGCCCUUUGUUCUAAAUGCAGCAACUUUGAUUGUUUACAUACCCAUUGAUUCAGAAAUAGGCUUCAUCGUUGAACAAAAUUUAGCUCGAAAACGUUGAAUUUUCUUGGAAGUUUUCAAGAGCCUAUAGACCAAACCGAUAUCGCUUGUGAGGUCGAGCGGCUUCAUUUUUUGCAGAAGCUGUAUUUUGUACGCUUUCAAUUAAAUGCGUUAAGUCGUUUCAUAACUCAGUCCGAGUCCACGAAAAAUCUUUUGUGGAAAAGAAAUCGAUCAAAGAUGUGCACCAUUUGGCUCUUAUUAAAUACCGCGAUAUAUUUUACAUGCAAAUAUUAAACUUUUAUAGGUACUACUUUUUCUUGAAAAAUUAUUAAGGAACCUCCUGAUCACUUAACGAAGCCGAUAAUAAGCUUCCAAAAUUUUAAGAGGCGUUCUUCAACAAACUACCUUCUCAAAAGUGAUCGCAACUAAAACGUACAUACAAGAGAAAGUAACUAAUAAAAUUCGAAAAGCUAACAAAGCAAACAAAUGUAUAUUCGUGUGAGCCAAAAUAGCCUAAAGCAUGCCUUUAUAUAUAGCAUGUUGUAGGGUAUCUCGUCUUCGCUAUAAAAAUUAAAAUUUUUACAAUAUGGUGCUACAAAACAAUCCAUAUUGAACCAUUAUUUUACAGAAAGACUAGUGAUUUCCAAAAUACUACAUUUAAAGUUUCAAUUUCAUUAUAGCAACACACUUUGUUCGUACAAAGAAUUUUUAGUUUGCCAGUUGAUUUCACAUCUCUUUCUAUCAGUAAUUGCACUUCAAUUGACUUCUGAAGAAAACUUGUUCAAAACAUUUUCGCAAAAUGAAGAUUUCAAAAACUUGCAGAUUGUUGCUGUCAGAAUUGCGUGAAACACAUCACAUGUGUUUCUCUAGAAAUUAUAUAGAAGGCCAGCAGAUGAGCAAAGUUCGAAAUUUAUUGAGAAAAAGAGAAGCAAUCAGCAAAGAAUAGCAAGCAAAAUAAAGGAUAUGCAGUAGUACAUGUGCAUUGAAGCUCGAAUUGCGCACUUUUUUUAGAUCCUUAGUCUAUUGCGUGUACAUGAAUAUGCAUAUAGAGGCGCUCCCACUUGAAUAUCAAACGAAUUCUCUUCCACAGAAAAAGCUUGAAGCAAAUUAACAAACUCUCCGUAGAAAACUUAAUUUGCGCAGAUAGCUAUUGGUGAACGCGCUGUACACAUUUAUAUAAUACAUACUCGCACAAAUGUGCUGAUCAAGUUCAAACAUAUGCUAAGUAAAAAGCUGUCAGAGCAGUUGAAAUUUUCGUGAAGCUGUAAAUGAGCUUACUAAUUUUCAUGCUGUCAAAUGUUUGAAAUAGGCAUGUGGGAUUCCAUUCCAAAUUCACUGCCAUACAGUCUUAAUAAAAAGCGACUUGCUGCUUUUACAUAUAUAUAUGCAUUUCUUUGUGUGGAUGGUGUUCCAAAGCUGGACUCGAGUUGCAAAUUACGCAUGUGUAUCUCCGUUACACACCAUAAUGGCCUGCCACAUUUCAUACUCAUUAACCUACACAAUGUGCUACAUCAAAUGCAAUAUCUAUUUGCUGAGUGAGUGACCAUAAGUUUAAUUUUAGUCAGUUAACACAAUAAAAAGAGGAAACUUGGAGCUUUCUAGUUAAUUUUACUAGUUUUGAUAUCACCGAUGCUAAUAGUGAUAAUUUACAUCAAUUAGCGUACUCUUGAACCACUGUUGAUUAAUGAACUUGUGGAAUACUCUAAAAACCAUGCGAGAAUUGAUCGUUUAAACAGUUGUGACGUCAAGGACGAUGGUGGAAGUCAAAUGUAAAUGUACAAAAUGUUUGUACAUCCAAGGAAUAUUGGAACCUCUCUGUCUGAUCAAAAGUUGUUUGCUUUCAAGUUGAUAUUCCUCUGAGGAUGAAACAAUAUAAUACAAAUUUUUUUACCUUAGAUUGCCUUAGUCAUAAUCUUAUACUAACAAAAAAAUUAAUUUUUGAUUUAUUCAAUUACAAACAAGAAAAAAACUUUAACUUUUCUAGCAACGAAGCUUUAUGCCCUUCAAAAAUAAAAAAAAAAACUAUAAAAAGCUUGAUUUUGAUCAGUUUGUAUGCUAGCUGUAUGCUAAAGUGGACCCGUUUCCGCAAUUGAGCCACUCUGCGGGGAGAAUACCGUGUAACUAUUUCUCGUAUGUAGUGAAGGAAAUAGCUAACUCACGCUUAUCCCUUAUAUAUAUAUAUAAAUAUAAGGUGCUUUCCAAAGUAAACAGAACUUUAAAAAAAAAACAGAGCACAUAGUUUUUCGGCAAAAUCAAUUUAUUUUAUUCAAAAUAGUCUCCUUCUGCUUCAAUACAGCUUUUUUCACGGUCCAAAGUAUGUCGAACGAGUGUUUUAGCUCGUUGGCCAGUAUGGCCCCACCUAUGCCGGUGCAAGCCUCUUGAAUCGCCUCUACGUCUGCAUAACGCUUUCUUUUCAUGGGCAAAUGCAUUUUUUUGAAAAGGAAGAAGUCUCACGGUGCCAUAUCAGGUGAAUACGUGGAGUGGUUAAUGGUUAAAAUGUGAUUUUUGGUCAAAUAAUCUUUCACAAGCGUCGUUGAGAGGUCUGAGCAAUUUUUGGUCGUCAGUCAAUUUGUGCGGAACAAACCGUGCACACACCUUUCGUAAGUCCAAAUGUUCGGUCAAAAUACAAUAAAUCGAUGUUUUGGAGAUGUUCAAUUCCAUUUCCAUGAAUUCCAAGGAUGAUUUCGGCUGAUUUUUGAUGAAUUCACAUACAGUUUCGAUGGAAUUUCCGUUGAUCACGUAUUUUGAUUAGCCCACAUGUUGAUCGUCCUUUACUAUAUGUCCUCACGACCACUUUGAAAACAUUGAAACCACUCGUGCACUCUGCUAAGGGAUAAGCAAUCAUCGUCAUAAACUUGUUUCAUCAAUUGAAACGUUUCGGUAAAAGUUUUACCAAUUUUAAAACAAAAUUUAAUGUUGGCUCUUUGUUCGAAGCUCAUUUUCGCACCCAUAACACAAACAUACUGACACUUAAAACGCAAUAGCUUCACUUUCAAUCAAUGAAAUGUCAUGAAACUCUCACUGGACAAUCGAUAAAGAUAGCAGAUUCUAAAGCAACAGUCGACAUAUAGAUGACGCUAUCAAAGGCCGCUUGAUUCAAAAAGUCGUGUUUUCUGUGGAGCGCACCUUGCACACAUUCCUUCUGGUCGUUACAAAUUUCGGAGCGACAUAAAAACACUUUGUCUCGGGUAUAAUGAGAGGAUACUCUACUUAACUUCACUGAAAUCACUUUGCAGUUUCUCAGCUGCUACUACUGGUACAACAAUUUCCCACAAAUAAAAUUUAAAUAGAAUUAAAGCUUCUCAUAUAAAUUCUUCUCAUACAACUUCGACUAUCGUCACGCUUGGGGCGCCCUUAGUCGCUUUGCGCUUAAUUUAUUAUGUAAAAUGCUGCAACAGCAGUAUAAUGAAAAAAUAAUGAGUUCUUAAGUUUUACUAAAUACGCCAACGCUCCGUUCAUUCAUUCAAGCACAGACAGACAGCAUUUCAGAGAAUGCAAUUGCCACUAGCUGAGCUGCUGAUUUGGAGCACGACUAUGGCCAACAACAUGCUACAGCUGCGAACUGAGCUGUGCUUACUCAAAUAGCAUUGAAGGGACCAAACACGGCAAACAAAUUAGAAUGCCCAACAAUGGCAGAGCAGCAAUCUUCUACUUUAUUUUUAUCACUCGUAUUCAAUUAUACAUGUAUUUAUCUCAUUGCAAUGCACACUCACUCGCUUGAAGGCAGCACAAGUGCACUGGGGCGUAUACGUAAUCAGAAGCAGUUUGCUUGCAUUUAAAUUGAAAAUUUGCACUUGUUAACUAUGCUAUGAAGGCAACAACAACAACUAGGCACUCAACAAGAAAAUGAAUAAUCUAAAACGAGCAAAAACAAAAAAAAAAUAGAA
Molecule: long non-coding RNA, 4155 nt
Organism: Bactrocera neohumeralis
Lineage: Eukaryota; Metazoa; Arthropoda; Insecta; Diptera; Tephritidae
Exons: 2
Source: RefSeq, a predicted model, not a curated record